CUCAUCUUUGCAUCUAUUCAUUUCCACAGCCGCCUCGAUCUACAGGUUUCUGUCCUCCUACCUCAGGCCUGAUUAUUUUCUUGUUUUUUUCCGUUAGAUUCAUUUAGAUCGUCUCGCGAUCUACGUUGUGGUUAUGGUUUUUCCGACUUUUGUUUCGUCGCUGGUUUUUCAAAGUUUGAUAGAUCGGUCGCCUGGUUUGUGCACUAGCCUCAGUUGUGGAACGUAGCCUCUUAUGCGCUGGAUGCGGCGGUGAAACACCGAGGUUUUGCUAGAUCUGCAACCGUGUUUGGCGGAUCGUUGAAGAUUCGUUUUUCCGUGAUUGAUUGGAAACAUCAAUUUACUGGAUAUGGAAAUACAAAGGCAUCUUGAGAAGGCACGAUCAUUUGACGAUGGGCAUUAUCUGUGUGGAGUCCUCUUGAGUUUUAUCUACAUGGCUCUGGUGCAGCAGCUGAGUUAUUCAAGGGAGGUGAAUUGAUUUGUGUUAUGUUGUUUCAUAUGUUCUUGUUGUCUGUAGACUCGGCGAACUGUUGAGGUAUCAGACUGUAAAAAAUGAAAAAUGAGUGAGCGAGGUAAGGUGAUAUGUGAAAAGUGAGGUGAGAUGUGCUUGUCUGCAUGACCUUUGCCAUGAUGGGUGCGCUCGCAUGGCAGGUCGCCCGUUAAUAAAAGUUGUCAUUUUUGGUUUUGAGGGGAGAUGGUACGGGGAUUCGCCCGGCGCUCCCCUGUGUGUGGUGUCCUCUCGUCUCCAUUCACUCUCUGCCCUCUUUUCUUUUCUUUAUUGUUAACCCACACGAAGCUCAAAUCCAAUCACGCCAAAAUUGUUUGGUCUUGAAUUGGUCGUAUACCAUAUAAUAAAACAUACAACCAAUUCAAGACCAAAACAUGUCACAUAUUUGAAAGCGAUCAAGCAAUUUUGAGGGUUCAGUUUUCUUCUCAGCAUCCACUUCAAUCAGCAUCCACCACAAUAGAGGUACCGAUUUGCGAUUUCUCAGUAUCUGCUUAUCUUGUUCACUUGCAUAUCUUUAACAUUCUCAAUUCUUUUAUUAGGACUAACACUUUUCUGGUAACUAGGAAUAUUUUAAUUACUUAAUUUACUAGUUAAAAUUAUCUACAUACAGUUACUGUAGGUUACUGAAAUGGCGUAUUUGUUUAUACUGUUUCCAUUUCAUCCCAUAAUAGCAAUACACUAGAUGUUCUAAUCACUGGAUUAGCUAUAUUAAUUUGAAAAUCUUUUUGUUUCAUCUUUGGAUCGACUGUUAUUAAUGAACAACUGGAUAACAUAUAUUAAAACAUAACUCAUAACUUCAUUUUGCGUUCUCAAUUUUUAAUUUCCAAACUUGUCAAUCUGGAAACGCCAAUCUCGACUUAAAACUGGAAGCAUUUACAUUUACCAUCACUGUCUUACAUGGUUCGUAUCUAGUAUUUGAAGAAGAGCUGCGAAGUAUAUAAUCAUGGAGACAAUAUUAAUCGAUAACCGAGUAUGCCCUUUUUGUGUUUUAGAUUCCUUUAGUUAAUUCUUUAUUGUUGUUGGUAAAGCACAUGUUCUAGCUCUUUUGUUACUGAGGCGCCUCUGUUGAGGGUUGUAGCUAUUGCAUUAGAUUAUUGAUGUGUUCUAGUUUAUAAUUAUCAACCAUCUGGAAGGUUGUUGCUAUUACUCUGUAUGUGUUGUUUAUAGUAUAAAGCUGUAGCAUGGUUGUAAUAGAUCAGCUAUUCAGUAGAUGGUUGGUUUCUUAUUGGAUUCGGAGGAGUCCCUUCAAGUGGAGUAUUUCCCCUCUUAUUGAGUGGAGGCUGACUGUGUUUGAUGUUGUGCUGCUUCUGCCCGUGACCAAAUUUUGCUGCUUGGCGAGGGAAUGUUCGCAAGGAUAAUGGUCCACAUUGGUGCUGUGAUGUCGAUGCGUGUUUAUUCCCUGUGAGCAUGUACUUCAUUUGUCUCUCCAAAUGUAGUCACUGAAGAUAAUUGUCAAGUAAGCUGCAAUUAACUUCAGCUGUUCUCUCUUUAUGUUGCAAAGUACACUAUGCUAAGCAGGGUAACUUUUUUUUCUUUUCUUAUUUCUGCUAAGCAGGGUAACUUAUGUUGUUAGAUUUUACUUUGGCUCCCUGUUACCCAGUUUGUCUAGAUGUUAUUAUUUAUGUGGUCUGUUUUCUCUGUAUUUUAAUUGAUUCUUUUGUGGUGGUUUGUGUCCCAGAAAUCUUGAUCACGUGUGCAUUAGUCUAAAGCACAUGUCAUUGGAAAGCUUACUUUGGGAGGGAUAUGCGCUUUGCAUAACAUAUUGGUUGGAUUUGUUGGUAAAAACUGCUUAUGGUUUAUCGGUUGGGUCAUUUGUCGACUCUCGAUCGAAAUGACAUGAGGUGUUAAUCAUGACAAUGAUAUACGUCUAUGCCAAGCCAGAGUUUUGGAUAA
This is a long non-coding RNA of Salvia splendens (bonfire salvia), 2398 nucleotides long. RefSeq lists it as uncharacterized. The transcript is spliced from 3 exons. The record is from RefSeq and is a predicted model, not a curated record. NCBI's taxonomy places the organism in Eukaryota, Viridiplantae, Streptophyta, Magnoliopsida, Lamiales, Lamiaceae.